CCUACGGGAGGCAGCAGUGGGGAAUAUUGCACAAUGGGGGAAACCCUGAUGCAGCGACGCCGCGUGAGUGAAGAAGUUAUUCGUUAUGUAAAGCCCUUUCUGCCGGGAAGAAAAUGCCGGUACCUGAGUAAGAAGCCCCGGUGAACUACGUGCCAGCAGCCGCGGUAAUACGGAGGGAGCAAGCGUUGUCCGGAAUUACUGGGCGUAAAGGGCGCGUAGGGGGGCGCUUAAGUCAGCCGUGAAAACUCCGGGCUCAAACUGGAGACUGCAGUUGAAACUGGGUGUCUUGAGGGCAGGAGAGGAAAGUGGAAUGCCUGGUGUAGCGGUGAAAUGCAUAGAUAUUAGGAAGAACACCAGUGGCGAAGGCGACAUGCUGGACUGUACCUGACGCUGAGGCACGAAAGCGUGGGUAGCGAACGGGAUUAGAUACCCUAGUAGUC
This 440-nucleotide ribosomal RNA is filed under the name uncultured bacterium. RNAcentral describes it as "partial 16S ribosomal RNA". It matches the Rfam family "Bacterial small subunit ribosomal RNA", at positions 338 to 795 of the family's 1533-position model. The record is from RNAcentral.